CCUGGACAGUGGUAUAAUGUAUUGCUUUUUUAUCCUAAACUCCUUUGAUAGUCUCUUGUAUGCAGCUUUUUCCAGACAUGGUAUCUUAUAUACCCACGUGUUCCACCUCAAACAAAUAGUAAAGGUAAUCUUACAUUUCUGAAAAAUUAGUUGAGGUUCUCUAUUCCCCCUCAAUUCGAAAACUGGUUAUACUUGAGUUUUCUACCAGAAAUAUUACUCCAAUUAUUUAAUGUCAAGUAAUCUAUUUUGUUCCAUUAAAUACAUAAUCACUGACAGAUAGCCAUUUUUUUAUAUUUUAAAUAUUUUUCAUAAUAAUUAGGGAUAACCAAAAUAGACGAUAUAAAAGAUUUUUUUCAAAUUAUGGCACAUUGAAUUCAUUGUUUUAAAUUUGCACAGCCUAUGAUUUUCCAACAUAAAUAUUGUUCUAAUAGAUAAACGACAAAAGACCUUUUUUGUUGCAUUUUUAAUCUAGUUUUGAGUAAGUUGUUCGUUUUUUGAUUUUCUCUGUAAUUUUAUUAAAAUUAAGGAUAACUGAAAAAAAACUUAGGCAUAACAGGAAAUUUUACGAAAAUAAUGAUUUUAUUUGGUUUUUUCGUUGUGAUUCAGGUUAAAAUACUCGUAGACUUGACAUUUGACAGAAAAUGUACAUUUACUUUUCUUAGACGUGACACAAAUUUUCAAAAAAUUUGAGUUAUUUUUAAGCUAUUACAGACAUUUUAAAUUUGCAAGUAUUUUACGUAAUUUUUAUUUGAUAGGUACUCUGUAGAUAAAAUUUUUAGACCUAACACUAAUUAACACCAUUUCGAUUAUAGUUAAUUUUCGAUUUUGGGGAAAAUACUCAUUAAUGCAUUACAUUAGUGUAUUCGUGUUCUUUUCUGGGAAAAUUGUUUAACUGAAGAAACUCUCUCAAUACAGUUUCUAACAGAUAUAAUUUUACUUGAG
This is a non-coding RNA of Cinara cedri, 942 nucleotides long. Lineage: Eukaryota; Metazoa; Arthropoda; Insecta; Hemiptera; Aphididae. The record is from the annotation of a GenBank genome assembly.